RNAcentral lists this ribosomal RNA (252 nucleotides) under uncultured bacterium. RNAcentral describes it as "partial 16S ribosomal RNA". It matches the Rfam family "Bacterial small subunit ribosomal RNA", at positions 524 to 776 of the family's 1533-position model. The record is from RNAcentral.
UACGGAGGGGCGAGCGUUGUCCGAAGUUACUGGGCGUAAAGCGCGCGUAGGCGGGAGGCCAAGUCCGCUGUGAAAGCCCGGGGCUUAACCCCGGCGGGUCGGUGGAGACUGGUCUUCUUGAAGAUGCUAGGGGGAGAUGGAAUUAUCGGUGUAGCGGUGAAAUGCGUAGAGAUCGAUAGGAACACCAGUGGCGAAGGCGGUCUCCUGGGGCACUCUUGACGCUGAGGCGCGAAAGCUGGGGGAGCGAACGGG